This 747-nucleotide ribosomal RNA is filed under the name uncultured Glomeromycotina. RNAcentral's name for it is "eukaryotic LSU rRNA". It matches the Rfam family "Eukaryotic large subunit ribosomal RNA", at positions 37 to 633 of the family's 3401-position model. The record is from RNAcentral. Lineage: Eukaryota; Fungi; Glomeromycota.
UGCAUAUCAAUAAGCGGAGGAAAAGAAACUAACAAGGAUUCCCCUAGUAACGGCGAGUGAAGAGGGAAGAGCUCAAAUUUUAAAUCCGCCUUGUUCGCAAGGCCGAGUUGUAAUUUGAAGAAGCGUUUUCUUGGGCUCGCUGCCGGUAGAAGUUCUUUGGAACAGGACAUCAUAGAGGGUGACAAUCCCGUCUGUGACCGGUCGCGCGGUUCAUCUACGAUACGCUUUCAAAGAGUCGAGUUGUUUGGGAUUGCAGCUCCAAACGGGUGGUAAACAUCACCUAAGGCUAAAUAUUGGCGAGAGACCGGUAGCGAACAAGUACCGUGAGGGAAAGAUGAAAAGAACUUUGAAAAGAGAGUUAAACAGUACGUGAAAUUGUUGAAAGGGAAACGAUUGAAGUCAGUCGUGCUGGCGCGAAAUCAGCUCGACCACUAGGGGAUCACAAGCCGUAGCGAGCCUCAAAACCGCUACGACUUGUGAUCGCUUGGUGGCCUGGUGCACUUUCGUGUCGGCUGGUUAACGUCAAUUUCGAUCGUCAUAAAAAGGCUGGAGGGAUGUGGCUCCUUCGGGAGUGUUAUAACCUUUGGCGGAAUGUGGUGGUCGGGAUUGAGGCUUGCAACGGAUACCUUCGGGGCUGUUCCACCUGGCCUCUCAUCGGCAUCCUGGCGGCGACAGCUUGCUGGCGUUGUUAGGAUCAGCCUUCGAACAGGCUAGAGUGUGAGCAAAUUCGUUAAAGAUGUUGACGUA